CUUUCUGUGGCUUAGUUGGUUAAAGCGCCGGUCUAGCGGAUACGGAGUCGUGGGUUCGAAUCCCACCAGAACGA
Aedes albopictus (Asian tiger mosquito) is the source of this 74-nucleotide non-coding RNA. Lineage: Eukaryota; Metazoa; Arthropoda; Insecta; Diptera; Culicidae. The record is from Rfam.